Molecule: long non-coding RNA, 5283 nt
Organism: Poecile atricapillus (Black-capped chickadee)
Lineage: Eukaryota; Metazoa; Chordata; Aves; Passeriformes; Paridae
Exons: 4
Source: RefSeq, a predicted model, not a curated record
UCUGUGAUUCAGGGAUUCUGUGCUAUGGGGUCAACACAGCUUGCCCUGAGCUGGAUUCAAGCCAACACAACCUUGGACCACACACCAAAGGCAGAAGAUGAGGAGAUGAGAGGAAACCUUCAGAUCUCCAGCCACAUGUGCAGUGCCCCAAGAAAAAUCCUUCCUCUGUCUUGGCUUGGAAUUCACAAAACCUCUGGAAAUCCUCUGGGCACCAAAAUGCAAGUGAGUUUCUACCCCAAAUGUGAUGUUUCCAUGCAAGCCAAGUAAAAGAACUUCUGUGGGCCUGGGGAAAGGUUGCAGCAGCUUGAGCUGAGCAUGGGAAGUGGCUGCAGAAGAAAUGGUGAGGCUGUCAGCAGCAGACUCGUGACAGAUUGUUCCUUGAGUCUUCCUGCAUCCACUGCCAUGGUGACCCUGGAAUCUCUGCUGCCACUGGCAGUGGCUGGGCUGAGUUUUCCCUUCUACUGUGCCAGCUCUUUGGGCUGGUGACCUUUCUGGAAGGAGGGAACUUGUUGUAGUGGAUGAGCAGAGACAGGCACUGGGGGGUGUGAAGAAACACAGAAAUGUUUCAGCAUCCAUUCCUAUCCCUUGCCCAAGUAAGAAAUGAAGCUGUGGAGAAAAGAGAUAAAGAACACACCUUUGGAAGUGAGGAGAAGAACGUUAAUUGGCUGUACAGCAGAGUCUGAGCAAUACGAAAAACCAGGAAAGACUAAUUUAUGAGUACAGAUUCUUUCUGGAGAGUAUGACUUAAACUUGGGGAGAAAAUCCAUGUGCCUGGAAUAUUAAAAUCAAUAGUUUUAACCUAUUUAGGAAGAACUGAGUGGGCAAAAAAGGCAUAGGAGGGAUAAUAUCAGAAAUGACAUUGCUACCUUCCAAAAACCAUUAGAGACUGAAGAGAAAGUGACCUCAAAUAUAAAUAAAAACAAAAAGAAGGCAUUUCUCCAGACCAUCAACUCUCACUACAAAACAGAGAUUACUCACUUCUUAGUCACACAUCUGUAACAUUUAAGAAAAUUUCCCUGCUCUGUUCUGGGGAAGUUCAACUCAAAUGAUGUGAGCUGGACAGUUCGCAGUGCUGGUUUGGGGAUUUUCUAAAUGUCCUAGAAGAGUGUUUCUUAACCAAAACCAGAAGUUCCUCGACAGGAUCAUCCUGAUAGCUGCAGGACUGGUUAGAGACACAAAAACUGGUUACAGACAGCACAGAGGUGACCCUGUUUCAAUCAUGUGUGCUGGGCACAGACAGGAAAGCCAGAGCUGACAGUGGCUCCCUGUGCUUUUCAGUGCUGUGAGCCUGGAGGAUUUUAAACAGAAAAUGAAGCUAAAACAAAGUAAAAUCAACACGGCCCGUGCUAAACGGAUGAGAACCCUGGUGAUAGGUUUAGACAUACCCGAGGAGCCUCCCAAGCGGCCGCCUUUCUGUUCAUCACUUUUAGCAAACGCUAGAAAAUCAAAACUCAUUACAGUCAAAGUUUGCUGAUGAGAUUUGGAGCUGGACCACGGCUGCAGUGUGGAUGGGUCUCUGCCUCAGACCUGCGCUGUUCCUCAACCAGGGGGAAGUGAGUGAGCUCCAGCUGCUUUAACACAAAGCCACACUCCCAGGAACCAGGAUUUCACCGCAGGGAGGAGGGAUCCUCUUACACAGCGCUGGAAUCCUGAUAAAACAAUGGAGUGAAAUAUCUCUGGAGGAACACCUAAUGGGACACUGCAGCUAUUUCUGGUGCCUGUGACUCCGGAAGGAUGGUGAUGAACGGGAGAGGGCACACGGGAAUGACUGAGGCGUCACAAAACAUGCCUUAUAGUGACAGACUCAAGGACCCCAAUGUGCUUAGCUUAACAAAGGGAAGGUUAAGAGAUGGCUUAAUGACAAUCCAGAUGUAUUCAGACAGGGUACAGGGAUGCAGAAAGGGAGAGCCCUUCAAUCUAACAGACAGAGCGAUAAAAAGAGCUGGUGACUGGAAGCUGACGCUGUUAAAUUCCAUCUGGGAAGGGUGUUUGGAGAGAAAUAACACCAGAACAACUUCCCUACAGAUGGUUUCAUCAUCAUUGGCCAUUUCUAACUCAUGCAGGCUUUUUUUCUUUUGGUUUUUUUAAGCCAUAAUCUUGAUCCACCAAAGAUCACUGUGAAUCGACACAGGCACCCUCACUGCACAAAUGGGAUGGGUCUUUUUUGGGUUUUAAUCUUCUUAAUAAUAAUAAUGAGUAUUUAAGCCAUCAUCCUCAAGUACUGAGUGGAAUCAUUCCCUUUUCCCAGAGUUAUUGUUCUGGCCUUGGUGGGCACUCACACAGACACCUCAGUGUUAUUGGUACUUCAUCUUUGCCAGUAGAGAGGCUGGAAAAGUCCUCUAAAACCCCAUAAAACAAACCUGGCCUACAUCCCCCUGCUAUAAAAAAAAAAGAAUCCAAAGUACAGUGCCAAAGAGAGCAGCUCAAAGCUCAAAGUACAUGAAGAACUUGAAUUCCAGUGGUUCAGUAAAAUCCUGCUGCUCCCUGUCUGCUGCCAGAGCUUGAUGGACUUUUCAGGGGAAUGACACAUCCGUGUUCCUUAAGAGUUGCUAAAAUUGUGAGUGGAAAAGGUGUAGUUUCAUAACAGACUCAUCCACACCCAGGAAAACACAGAAUGAGAGAGUGCUGCAACCUUGGAGACUUUCUGCAUGAGCUCCAUCAUGUCCAUCAUGCUCUCUGGUUUGGAAGCUGCUGAAAUUUCUCCUUCCAUGGAAAUUAUUCAGCAGAAGUCCCAGCUACAGACCUUCAAUCAGAAAACUCCAGGAGCCACACAUGGACUUCUCCUGGGACUGGUCUGCAAGACCCAGCUGAUGUCUCACUGUUCAUCCAGAUGUACUUGGGGACCAAACAGCCCGAGGACCUUCCUGCAGCCACUGCACAAGCAGUCUGGAUCAACAAGAUGCCUGGAUAAUGCACAGGCCAUGGUGUCAUGUGUCUGUUUGCACGGAGCCAGAGCUGUGCAUGGUGCUGCGUGCUGAGGUUCUGCAGACUCAGAGAGUCAGAGAGAGACCUGGAUCCAUCACAUGAAGUUAAGGGGGAAAAUUGCCUCGGGAGGGAUCUAGUUUUGGGUUCAGGCAGAUCUUUCUGCAUAUUUUCCAAGGAGAUGAGAUUGCAAGCCAGAGCUAAGCCAGUCAGGAAUUCUGUCUGAAUUAUUUUCACAUUCUCUUUAAUGUUCUGUCCACGGGUGAUACCUAGUGCAAUGCAUGACACCUGACAUGGCCCUUUCCCCAUAUUUUCAAGUUAAUAAAUGUAGUAAAAAAUAAUAUACAGUGUUUAUUGCCAGGACUGUCAGGGAGGACACUGCAUUCCCCCUCUCCUCCAAACCCAGGGAGUGUAGGAGAGGCUGCUGUAAUUACAGGUCUCCUUGUGCAAGACUGCUUUGAAAUUCCCAAUAUUUCUCCAAACUACCAGCAAGUCGGUUUUCAGAGCUGCCUGACAGAGAAUUUAUUUAUUAAGGUCUUGGCUGUUUGCAGCAGUGGCUGGGCAGCAGCAGUUCCGCAGAGUUAUCAAAAAUCUAUUUCCUUGCAGAGUCACAAGUAAAAUAUCAAACCCCCUUUGAAAAGCCAAGUGCAACAUUUACAUUUUAAUCUCCCCAAACACUUUCGUUUCUGACAAACUGGGUUUUUUGGUCUGUGUGUUAUGGAGAGGAGAGGCAGUGGGGCUGGAGGAGGAAGGUUUAUAGCCCUGGGAGGAAGCGUGGGCUGCUUUGAAUGUGUGACACCGCUGGAGUGGCACGGUGACCUCCCCGAGCACGGGGACUGCAAGGACUGUCACCCUUCAGCACUGCUGGGGCCAGGUGAGAAAGAAAAGCAGCCUGGCCCCAAAAUCUAGCAGUGCAGGGCAUCAAACACAGAGCUGGGUUAGCAAUCACAUGUGCACGAGUAGAAAAGGAGGAGCACCAGCCCUGUGCUGGGCACAGCCUCUCCUGGCUACCAACAGCCCGCAUGGGGGGUCAGUGGCCACUUGCAGCCACUGAUCUAUAGGGGCAAAAGCCUUUAUUUGCCUGUCUGUUCACACCUCUGCCUGGGGUUAACUGGGCUGCAGUGGAGCAGCUGGCUGCACCCCAGCUCUACAGUUUGUGGUCUGGCAACAAAAGCCACUCUGCCUUUCCCUUGCUGUCAGCGGGGCUGAGGUCCUGCGCUGCCUCUGUGGAGUCGCUGCAGCAAGCCAUGAAUUAUGGAUGAAAUGAAAAAUCCCAGCCCGGUGCACAGAGGGAAUAUGCAAAGUGCAGAGCGAUCACCUUUGUGUGUGAGCCUUGCUUUGUGCCACCUUCACACACACGAGGCCCAAAACACUCCGCUCUGCUUUGGCUGCGACUCCCUCGGCCCACAGGGCCCAGGAUCCCCUCCUCCCGAGGGAUCUGGCUUCUGAAAUGAUGUUCAUUAAAUUGAAAAGCAUGUCCUUGUGCUUUGUGGGAUCUUCCUGGGAACUACUGAGGGUGCUGUGUGGAUGAGAUGUGUGGAGCUCACACGCAGAGGUGCCGGCACGGGCAGGACGGGUGUCUGGGACAGGCUGGCCCUGGGCAAAUCUGCCAUGGUGCCAUGGGCAACUCUGCACAUCCACUCCAGGAGAGCUCCUGAGCACAUGAACACACAUUUGCAGGUGAGGUGAUGCAGGAGUUCCCACCCAGGCACAGCCUUUCCACACACAGAGGAUCCCUCAGGGGAUCUGCAGAGGCGACAGUUCCCACCAGAGCUCCCUUUGCUUGAAGCAAAGCAUCGGAAAAGCUCUUGACAGGCUCUGACUUCAAGACUCUGUGAUUUGGGGAAGUCUCUCAACUCCUAACAUCUCCUUCAGAGAGAAGAUGACUUUCAGGAGGCAUUUUAAAAAUGUCUUUUAAUUUUUAAAUGCUUUAGCUCCUCCUUUGCCAAUCCAGCUCUCUGCUUUUGUGCACCAUCUAAUAAUGUGCUUCCACACAGCCAUUUCUGAGUGUGCAAUAUCAACAUCUGUGCUAAAAUCAAGCAGAAAUUUUUCCCCGAAGCAAAAUUUUGCUCUGUAUUAUUGUUACUUUCUUUUCCUAUUUAAUGGUUUGCUUGUCAUGGGGCCUCUUCAGCCUCUUAUUUUCAGGAAAUGAAGGUUCUCUGCCUCUCGCUCCUUGUCAAAGACACCCUGGCAGGCGAGAGCAGCGUCACCCUUGUCCCACCUCCUAAAAACAUUUUACUGAGUGCUCACUAAAACUGUGCUGCAGUAAAGCACUCCACUGAAAUGGGUGCCUGAUAUGCAGCAGGUUGGCAGAAUUAAUUUAUUGGUGUUAGUACAGCCUUUUGAACUUCUCCUGUUACG